GCACGUAGUUAGCCGUUGCUUAUGCCUCGAGUACCGUCGGGUGUCUUCCUCGAGAAAGGCGGUUUACGACCCGAAGGCCUUCAUCCCGCACGCGGCGUGGCUGCGUCAGGGUUUCCCCCAUUGCGCAAAAUUCCUAACUGCUGCCUCCCGUAGGAGUCUGGGCCGUGUCUCAGUCCCAGUCUGGCUGGCCAUCCUCUCAGACCAGCUACGGAUCGAAGCCUUGGUGGGCCAUUACCUCACCAACUAGCUAAUCCGCCGCAGGCCCCUCCCAAAGCGUCUUGCGACUUUGAGCACCGAAACGAGUCGGUGGUCACAUGCGGUAUUAGCGACUCUUUCGAGUCGUUAUCCCCCACUUCGGGGCAGGUCACCUACGUGUUACUCAGCCGUUCGCCACUAGCCUUUCCCCUUGCGGGGAUUGGCUCGUCCGACUUGCAUGUUUUAUGCACGCCGCCAGCGUUUGUC
This 462-nucleotide ribosomal RNA is filed under the name uncultured bacterium. RNAcentral describes it as "partial 16S rRNA". The record is from RNAcentral.